This 254-nucleotide ribosomal RNA is filed under the name uncultured bacterium. RNAcentral describes it as "partial 16S ribosomal RNA". It matches the Rfam family "Bacterial small subunit ribosomal RNA", at positions 524 to 776 of the family's 1533-position model. The record is from RNAcentral.
UACGGGGGGGGCAAGCGUUGUUCGGAAUUACUGGGCGUAAAGGGCUCGUAGGCGGCCAACUAAGUCAGACGUGAAAUCCCUCGGCUUAACCGGGGAACUGCGUCUGAUACUGGAUGGCUUGAGUUUGGGAGAGGGAUGCGGAAUUCCAGGUGUAGCGGUGAAAUGCGUAGAUAUCUGGAGGAACACCGGUGGCGAAGGCGACAUCCUGGACCAACACUGACGCUGAGUGAGCGAAAGCCAGGGGAGCAAACGGG